This 72-nucleotide non-coding RNA is filed under the name unclassified sequences. The record is from Rfam.
AAUAUUAUAGGAUAGAAAUAGUAGCUAUCACCCAUAGUUAGGAGAUAUUGGGGUACUGACCAAUAUAAUAUU